UCUCCACUUUUCGCGUCUUCUUCUUUGACGUCAACACCCUCACCCCUCACCUCAUCAUCUAUAUAUACCAAACCCACUCCCCACCUUCUCCCCUUGCACCAGAGGGUCAUUGUUUAAUCUCCACAGAGAGAGAGAGAGAGAGAGAGAGAGAAGUGCGUGAGAGAGAGUCUUUAGGGUUUUGUUGCGUGGAAGAAGAAGAAGUGUGGGUUCCAUCUGGUUCUUGGAAGCGUUUACAUUUCGAGUUCUUGCCUAGCACAACAUAUUUGAGCGUCUGGGGUUUUUGGGGACAAAUACAUUCUGAGAAAUUUCAUUUCUAGUCCGAGGAAAGCAAUGGAGGGUUGAAUCGCGUUCCUCUGCAGGAGAGUUGAAGAAAUCCUAGGGGUCUUACUCAUCUUCCUUUCUUUUUUUUUGUUCUGUGUAGGUAAAGCAAAUGGAUCUCCUCAUGUCAAUACUGGCAGUGGAGAACGACACUGGACUAUUGACUAGGACAGAUACUGGAAGUUUUACAGAUAUGUUAAUGGGUUCACAUUUGUGGCAUGCAAGGGUAGUGGAAUAAUAUUGUUGGUGGCGUACUUGGAGUGACGUUUAUUGUACACAGUAUGCAGAAGAAAGACUUGGGGAGUGUCUCAUCAGCCCCCAUUGAUGUACCAUCUUUCGAGGACUUGUGAAUUUUCCGGUCAGAACAACACCCUCCUCUCUGACAGCAGUUGGAUCUGAGAAGCCUGAUCAUGUGGCGUAGGUGCCCCCUGAAAGCCUGUUUGAUCCUCUUAGUUUGUUUUGGCUGCACUGCGCUGAAUUGAGCUGCUGGCGUAGCUUCUGAAGGUUUGAUCCAUUAUUUCAUUGGAUAAAUUAGGAAGUGGACCGUGCCCCUUUGCUCUGCCUGUUUGAUAUCCUCUCCUUGUAUAAUCGAUCCCUUGGUUCUGUAAUUGUUGAAUCCCAUAGCUCCCGAUUUUCCCACAGGCAGUCACAUGGUUCUGUGGGUGCUAAAUUGUAUUUAGUUCAUUUAGUAAGGAAGUUUCUUGAUAUGUAGAAGUCUGAUAAACUGUGUUGUAUAUACAAAGAAAUGGGUUUCGCAUGUUUGGUGCGAAUUUCUCGGAGCA
This is a non-coding RNA of Punica granatum (pomegranate), 1100 nucleotides long. Lineage: Eukaryota; Viridiplantae; Streptophyta; Magnoliopsida; Myrtales; Lythraceae. The record is from RefSeq and is a predicted model, not a curated record.